GGUCAGCAUAUAAAGAGCACAUCUUUAAAUAGGAUGUCUGUCAGGCUGCAAUUACGCUUUAGCUGGUGAGCUCACGACAGUUCCACUCACACUUCUAUAGGAACGUGUAGGAGCCUCUCGCCAACAGUAAGGAGGCAACACGGUGGGUGCCCUUUGUAAGUGGGGGACGCCGGCGGCCUUCUGCCGGGGGUGAUGAUGAGACACAGAACUAGGAAAUCAUUGUCUUAAAAUGAUGCCAGGAUGAGAAAUCCCUGGGAAAUUAGUUCAGGAUUGCUUCUAAGUUAUGUCUCUAUCCUUUAAGUUGGAGCUGCAGAAAUUCUCCGGGAGAUAUCUGGGCCAGGGUUCAUCAAGAAGUGAAUUUCUGCUGCCGAACUGCCCUCCUCUGGGGUUAACUCAGUCUUCAUAAACC
This 409-nucleotide long non-coding RNA is filed under the name Bos taurus (domestic cattle). RNAcentral describes it as "long non-coding RNA NONBTAT025968". The record is from RNAcentral. Lineage: Eukaryota; Metazoa; Chordata; Mammalia; Artiodactyla; Bovidae.